RNAcentral lists this unclassified non-coding RNA (4479 nucleotides) under Hevea brasiliensis (rubber tree). Lineage: Eukaryota; Viridiplantae; Streptophyta; Magnoliopsida; Malpighiales; Euphorbiaceae. The record is from RNAcentral.
GGAAUCCCCGCCAAUCAGCAGUGGAAUCCUCCACCUUCAACAACCACUUUACUUUUUGACCCUUCAAACAGAAUCUAAUCUUUUGAGGCCCUUCGCCUCUGACAAAGUGCAUGCACCAACACAGCUAAGCACCUACCUUCUCCACCACCGCCACCGCCACCGCCACCGUCACAGCUACAAUCUGCAACUCCCCACGCACCAAACCCUAACCCUAACCCUAGUCCGAAUACGUACCCUGUUAUAUCAGCACCGGCACACGCCUUCCCAUCCUACGCGCUUCCUAUUUCCGGCGCUUCUGUGCCUCCCGUGGCCCAGUCGUUCUGUCCAGUUCCGCAAUUCUCUCCGCUGCCGAACUAUCAAAUCCCUAGUGUUGGAGUGCAGCCUCCUGGUGUGAGUGCACCGUCAGUUAUGGCAUCUGGUGCGCCAGGAGCGGUUCCGAUGCCUACUCCCAUGAUGCCGUAUCAAGUUCCGCCAGGUCAGCCUACAAAUCCGGCUUUGAGACGGUACGCGCCUAUUACAAAUGGUUAUGGUGUCAUGCCGGGAGCUGCUUCUCAAGGGACUGUGCCACCUCCUGGUGGGUUAUUCCUUUCCUUAUUCCUUCUCGCUUUCUCCUUUACCUAUCGAUUUUCUUUAAGCAUGUAGAUUUAUAUACAUAAUAUAUUUAUCUUUUGAAUAUCUUUGUUUAAGAAGCGUUGUCUAUUACUAUUAGUACUACUUUUGGCUAUUGUUUGUUGCUGAAUGAGCAUAUGAACUGAUAGGCAACUAGUUAUCAUUUUCGUCGGUGAGAAAUUUCUACUUCUAACUUGUGGAUGGUAGACAUAGAUAAAUCGUGUUAAUUUUAUGAUUUGGUGGGGAAGAGUGUGUUAAAGAGGGGUGUGGAUGAAUUUAGAAAAAGGGGCAUCGAUGACAGGAUGUUUUCUCCUACAGUGUCUUGAUUGAAUUCGGUGAGAGAAAGGUUGGAAGGCUUCAUAUUGCUUAAGAGAGUAUCACCUUCUACAACUCCUGUUUUGGUAUGCACGUAUUUGCUUGGUUUCCUUUGAUUGUAUUUAUAAUAAACAAUGUAAUUGAAAAAUUCUUUUACUGCACAAAAAUAGCAUCUGGAGUUUACAAAUUAAAGAAUACAGCAUAAUCCAUAUCCUUCUAAAUUACAUCUGGUUAUGCCAUGUUUAUUUUAGUAGGCUACUUUCUGGUAGUUAUAAGGAUUCUGUCCCUUUCAUGGGUCUAUGAAUUGCCAGCAGCAGACCAUGUUAGCAACUGAGUGCUCCUUGGCUUGUAUUCUAAGGUAUCACAAUUCUUCCAAUCAAAGUCUAUCUUUCUUCCCCCCCUCUUUCUUGUAUUUCUUUAUUUUGUUUUCAUGCUGUGCGUUUGACCACUAAUGGUUGAAAUAAAUUAAAAAUGGCAAACGUAAACUAGUCUAGUUUGUAUUGUUAAAUCCUUUAAAGCAUGAGAUGUUCCAAAUCUCAUGUUGCUCAAUGUCAAAAUUCUGCAAUCGGUGCAUGGGAUUGUUUGAAAAGGCUACUAUUUUGCAAGUGGAUGCAUGAGGUAAGCCCACUUCACAUAUCUAUGUUUAUGAACUCUAUCCCUUUUCUUUUUUUAUUACUGUUCCCUCAGGUUAUCUGUUCAGCUGGUGUGCUUGAUGCGUAUGGUGCCAUCUCUAAUUUGCUUUUGUUGUGUGGUAACAGCAUUUAAUUUUUUUUUUAUUGUCUGAAUUCUUCUUCGCAUAUGCAUGCUGGUGGGGACAACAGUUAUUUCUGUAUUUAGUUUGUGGACCUGUUUUGACAUGUCUGCAAAGAUUUUGUUUUUUGUUUUUGCAGGAAUUCAACGAUAUCCCUCUCCAUAUCCAGCUAUGGUUCGGCCCAUGUUUCCUCCUUGUCCACCUGGAGCAAUUGGUGUGCUUCCAGCAGCAUCCCGCCCUCUUGUUCCAGGAAUUCCAGGUGUUCGUCCAAUUAUUCCCCCCAUCAUUAGGCCAGCUGUUCCUUCUAUCACACCGGCAGAGAAACCACAAACCACUGUUUACGUUGGCAAGAUAGAACCUACUGUGGAGAAUGAUUUUAUGCUUUCUGUUCUUCGGUUCUGUGGACCUGUCAAGAGUUGGAAACGUGCUCAAGACCCCAGUGAUGGAACUCCAAAACGCUUUGGGUUUUGUGAAUUUGAAUCUGCUGAAGGAGUUCUCCGUGCAUUACGUCUCCUGAGUAAAUUUAAUAUUGAUGGGCAAGAACUGGUGCUAAAUGUAAAUCAAGCAACAAGAGAAUAUUUGGAGCGGUAUGUUGAAAAGAAAACUGAAAACUCCAAGAAUCUCAAAGAAAAUCAAGCUGGAAGGAUUGACAAGGAGGAUGGAACAGCCCUAGGUGUUGAAAAGAAUGAACCUUCAAAAUCCACUGAGGAGGACUCUAACAUUGACAAGGAGAAGGGGAACAAAGAAAGUCAUGAUCUUGCCAACUUUGGGAUUGUAACUGAUGAAGACAAGGAAGCUGACAAAGAAGCUUUGGAGAAACUUACUAGCAUGAUAGAAGAAAGGUUGAAAACCAAACCUUUGCCUCCACCACCUCCACAAACACCUGGGAAUACGAACUCAGAACUGCCAGCUAAGUCAAGGGAUGGGGACUCUGAUGCAGAUAUAGCGAGACAAGACACAGCUGAAGAUAAAAUUGAUGAUGAGACAACAAGUGACAAUAAAGCAGCAAGUGAACAGGAUAGACCUGAAACAAGCUCACCUGAUAGGAGUAGAAAGUAUGACAGGAGAAGUAGAGACCGAGACCGAGAUCUAAAACGGGAAAAGGAACGAGAAAUUGAAAGAUAUGAAAGGGAAGCAGAGCGAGAGCGAAUUAGGAAGGAGAGGGAGCAGAGAAGGAAGAUUGAGGAGGCAGAGCGUGAGUUUGAGGAGCGGCUGAAAGAUUGGGAAUAUAGGGAGAGAGAGAAAGAGAAACAGCGGCAGUAUGAGAAAGAGAAGGAGAAAGAAAGAGAACGCAAAAGGAGGAAGGAGAUUCUUUAUGAUGAAGAGGGUGAUGAUGAUGAUUCAAGAAAAAGGUGGAAUAGGAGUAUCUUGGAGGAGAAGAGAAGGAAGAGACUACGGGAGGAGGAGGAAGACAUGGCUGACAGACUCAAAGAAGAGGAGGAAAUUGCUGAGGCCAAGAGGAGGGCUGAGGAGGAAAGUUUGCAGCAGCAACAAAGAGAUGCAUUAAAGCUUUUGUCUUGUCAUGUCAUAAAUGGAAGUGAAAAGAAAAUUCUGGCUGAAGAAGCCAUCACUGAAAGCAAAGAUAAGGUUGUUGAACAGGAUAAUGAGGGAGAUUCUGGUAAUGAAAACCGCACAGAUGAUGGGGUUUUACAAAAUGGUACUAUUGAUGAAUCAACCAUGACAUCAAUGACUGAAUCGGAUUUACGGCGAAGUGGUAAUGUGCCUACAAGAAAGUUGGGUUUUGGUUUAGUUGGGUCUGGCAAACGAGCUACCGUUCCUUCAGUUUUCCAUGAAGAAGAUGAUGAUGAUGCACACAAGGAGAAAAAGAUGAGGCCUCUGGUUCCUAUUGAUUAUUCAACAGAGGAGUUGCAGGCAGUUCAACCUACUGUUACAGGAGCACAACCACCAAAUCUUGCUGCUGCUGCAGAAUUUGCAAAACGUAUAUCUAAUGUGACUUCCAAAGAAGAGAAGCCUGAUGUGGAAAGAGAAAGAAGUAGACGUUCUCAUGACAGGUCAAGUCAGCGAGAGAGAGACAGGAAUGAUGAAGAUAUUAAUCGUAUGAAAGAUGAGAAGGAUAAGAUUCUUGAACAGGACAGGAACCGGGAACAUGGGUUGGACAAAGUGAAAACACCAGACAAGCAGAAACUUUUGGAUGCAAAGCAGUUGAUUGAUAUGAUUCCAAAGACCAAGGAUGAGCUAUUCUCAUACGAGAUAAAUUGGGCUGUGUAUGACAAACAUGAGCUUCAUGAGAGAAUGAGACCAUGGAUUUCAAAGAAGAUUACAGAGUUUUUGGGAGAGGAAGAAACCACACUGGUAGAUUACAUUGUAUCAAGUACUCAAGAACAUGUUAAGGCAUCCCAAAUGCUGGAUAUGCUUCAGUCUAUAUUGGAUGAUGAAGCUGAAAUGUUUGUGCUCAAGAUGUGGAGGAUGCUUAUCUUUGAAAUUAAGAAGGUGGAAACGGGUCUUGCUUUGAGGUCAAAAACAUAAAACUAGUUACUCAUUUGUUCCUGGAGUGCUGUGAGAUGGACAUUCUGGUUUCCGAGUAUUGUAGAACAAAGCACAGAUUGCAAUCAAGGUGAAAUUUGACCCGCUCAGCUUUACAUUGGGGAAUCUCCAGAAAGCGUACUCUACAGUCUGCAGGCUGAAGCACAAAUUCAGCUUCAUUCUUCAGUUUUUUAAACCGUAGGCAGUUAGUUAUUUAUCAUUGACUUGUAGAUAUGAUUUUAUCCACAAAUUUCUGGAUGGAUAUGGUCUGCACCCGCAAGUCCUUACUAAAUUGGUAACCUGCACUUCAAACUUUCAAC